Long non-coding RNA from Carya illinoinensis, 1332 nucleotides. RefSeq lists it as uncharacterized. The transcript is spliced from 2 exons. The record is from RefSeq and is a predicted model, not a curated record. Lineage: Eukaryota; Viridiplantae; Streptophyta; Magnoliopsida; Fagales; Juglandaceae.
ACACUACACCUUCAGACUUCCCCACUCCGCCCCCUUCCAGAUCUUCUCUCUCUCUCUCUCUCUCUCUCUCUCUCUCUCUCAUUCCCUCACAUUUUUUCUCCUCUUCUCAUGUUUUUGCUUUCCACAUGCACUAAGACCUCUACCUUUCACCUUUUUUACCCCAUCUCCUCUACCUUUCACCUUUUUUUCCCCAUCUCUCUCCUCUUGACUCCUCGUUCGCAUUGUCUCUCUUCUCUCAUAUUGUUUUCAAGAAAUAGACAACAUUCAACGCAUUUCUGUUUAUUUUAUUUGCUCGGAUGAAUUUUUUUUUCCUUAUAUCUUACAAAUCUAAGGUUCUACAUUUCAGUUAUGUAGAAAUUAUUUCUGUUGCUUUUGACAUAUAUUGGCUUCAUAUUUUUCGUUUGCUUCAUGUGUAUAUGCUUCCAUUUUAUGUAUUUCAUACACGUCUGGGUUCAUAUUUAUUUUUUUACUCUGUUGAUUUCAUUUCAAUAUAGAUACAAAUAGAUCUGCAUAUAGCCGAACAAAGCAUGUUUAGAUCUGGGUUCUUAGGUUUUUUUAUCUCUUUCAUUUAUGUUUACUAAAUCUGUUGUUGGCCGUACAACUCUUCCAAUACCUUUUUUUUUUUCGUGUACAGUAAUCAUAAAAUCCUUCUAUUUUCUCGUAGUUUUUAUUUUUUUCAAAUUUUCCGUUGAUUUUUAUUUUUGUUACAUUUUUCUAUCAUGUUUUUCUUUUUCCGUAGACAUGAACAUUUUUUUUUUCCAGCGCGAGUGAAAAAAAAAAAAAAUCACGCUGGAGAAAAAAAUCGCAGUGUUCAUCCUUGCAGAUUUGAGGAUAUUCACUUUUUUUUCCCUUAUUUAUCGUAUACUCCUUCCCAAAUUUUUUGGCUAAGAUGAAGAAUUUUUUUUUUCUUUUAAAUCUACAAAACUACUAUAGUUUAUGUUUCGAUUUGAGUUACUCUUAUUUUUUUUUGUUUGUUAUUGUUCGUGUAGUUCUCCAUUUAUAUUUUUUUUGCAGAGAACUUCAUAGAUGUUCAUAAAUCUGAACAGCUACUAAGAAGCGAGCUACUAAGGACCGUUUACAUGUGUGCCAUAGCAAAUAAAAAAAUGGAAGAAGAAAUCAUACCACUCAAUGCAGGGAACAAGGCAAAUAAAAAAGCGAGCUAAUAAGGACCGUUUAAGAAGCAGAGAACAAAGUCUUGAGGAAUUGAAAGAUUGUAACAAUGAUUGUUCGUUCCUUUCAUGUUUUUAGCCAAAUUUAUUUGUAACAAUUAACUAUUGCAUACAAAUAAAUAAUUGAAUAAUUAAAUUUAUUCUACAUCUCUAUUCUAAUUAA